This 64-nucleotide microRNA precursor is filed under the name Myotis brandtii (Brandt's bat). Its description in RNAcentral is "mir-9242 microRNA precursor family". It matches the Rfam family "mir-9242 microRNA precursor family". Lineage: Eukaryota; Metazoa; Chordata; Mammalia; Chiroptera; Vespertilionidae. The record is from Rfam by way of RNAcentral.
GGCCUCUCUCUGUGGGGCAAUUGAUCAAGGGGCUCCCUGAUUGAUUGUCCAGCAGAGGGAGGCC